This 10626-nucleotide long non-coding RNA is filed under the name Gossypium barbadense (sea-island cotton). RNAcentral describes it as "long non-coding RNA (GBAR_LNC008715)". The record is from RNAcentral. Lineage: Eukaryota; Viridiplantae; Streptophyta; Magnoliopsida; Malvales; Malvaceae.
CGACCACGGUUGGAGAAGACAAUCAAAGCAACCUCAGCAUCACAAAGAACCGAUAGCUCAUAAGCCUUUUUGAGCAAACCAUUGCGCCUCUUACAAAAGGUAACUUGGCGGUUCGUCGUGUUUUCGAUCCGCUUGAUCUCGAUCUUUCCUCUCCCCAUUUUCUUCUGGGGAGAGUCUUCAAGGGAUUCGUUGGGGUACACCAUGCUUCCUAACUGAAAAAAAUAAACCAUGAUGAAAGCAAUGGUACCAUUUUUACUAUCUUCUUUGAAAAGCAGACAUAUAGAAUCUGAUGACCAAAGGAGAGCUAAAAUAGCCAAUGAAAAAAUAAACCCAAAGUAAGUGAAGCAAGAACAAGUGAUUAAAAGGAUUAUGUUUUCAGUUUAUGGCUAACUAACCUUGAAAGGAAAAUUAAAGAAAAAGGCAAGUAUGAUAAUUAAAGGCAGAAAAAGAAAGAGAAGGGUUUUUUUAUUUACUUCUCUUUGUUUUUCAUUUUAGCUGCAAAUCUCUGACUAGAUGAGAUGCAGAAGAUGGAAGCAAAGAAGGGUCGAGAGUUUCUAUUUAUAAAUGUAAAUAAACCUGCUCUGUGUUAAUUUAAUCUUCCAUUUUCACAUACAUGUAUCCUAUUUUUAGUACUAUUUGGGUUUUUUGAAGGCUGUAUUUUUUUUUUUUAAAUUAUCAGUAUUUUAAUAAUCUAACCUGUGAAUUAUAUUUUAAAGAUGAAGAGAAUAAAAAAGAAAGGAUAAAGUUGGGAAUCAUCACUUCUAUGGUUGAGACCGGUUGUUGCAGCCUGAGCUCUAAAAUAAUAAUAAUAAUAAUAAUUUAUUUAAUGCCUUAUAUGUGAAUACCAAAAUAUUUUUUUAGAGAAUAUCAAAAUCAUAUGGUAUCUAGCCUUAAGCUUUUAUCACUUUAAAGGCGUAAUUUUAGAUAGUUUAGUAUAUAUCACAAUUUUUAUAGAACAUCGUUCGAAUUUUUAGUAUACUAAUUAAAUUCAUAUUAUCUAAGCAUCUAUUAAGAUUUUUUUCAAAAUACCAAAUUUUCUAAGCUCGUAUUCUUAGAUAUUUUGGCAGGUUUUGUAAAUUGUUGUAACCAUAAUUUUUUCACCUAUUAAAUUGAAUUGCUUUUAUUUUUUUAAAUAAAAAUCUCUAAACAGCUUACAACGACGAGCUCCAAAAAAAAAACAUCUCAUUUAACGAAUACAACAUAAAAAAACCCUUUCAAAAGCGUCGAAAAUAAUAUAUCAUAACUUAAGUGUUAACCAUCUUCUAACACCUUAAAAGUUAUGCUCGUACUUAAAUGAAUCACCACACUUCAUCAAAUCCCAAUCCUAAUGUAAAAAACAAUGACAUCAUGUAAACUUACAAUCCAACAACACUACAACAAAUCAAAAUCAUCAAAUAUGAAUCAACAAGAAUUCAAGCGGUACCCCCAUAGAAAUUACUCAAUUUCUAAUAUCGUCCACUAAUAGUAAACAACUAGUAAGAAUAUGAAUUUUUAUCCGAUUAAUACGUGAAUUUGAUUCAUUAGUUAUUCACACAUAUUUAUAAUCGUUUCACAUUUGGCUAUUAAUUUAACUUAAGUAAAGCUUCGUGGGAAGUUACUUAACUAAAAUAAUCGUGAAUGCCUAAUCGUCAACUCAACAACCAUUAUAGAUAUAUACUCUUUUAUGAGUCCUCGUGAGACAAUCUCAAUGAGUAACAUAUAUGACUAGUUGUCAUUUUUACAGGAAGCCUCCCUAAUGAACCCUCAUAAUAAUGCUUAUUGCAAGUUGCGGUCAAGGUGAAAUUGACUCGAAGUAUUAUUAUGCUAUCCUACAGAAACCAUCGUUGGAGGUUGUGGGUCUUGUUUAUGGACUUUCUCCCACUUAAUAUUUAAAAAAAUGCAAGGUUUUAACCAAUUUCAGUCAUGAAUGAUUAAACAUGCUUAUAACAAGUAAGAGUGACAUUCUUUUUUUAAACUAUAUGGCACGCUUAUAUCACAUAUGCAUGUACGUGGUUUUUUACUUAAUCAUUCCCAUUCUUAUAUAAUACUAACAUAUCAUAAAAUUGAAAAUUAAACUAACUCUGACCAGUCAAAAGUUUCCAUAGUUUCAUCCUAAGAAAAAUAAAAUAAUUAAAAUUACAAUAUUAUUUCCAAAGCAUUCUUUAGCUCUUCUAGGUAAAAUUUGAAUAUCUUGGGUUUUGCUAAAAAGAAUUUGUGCGCCAAAACUAAACUCGAAACCAAAAACACGAACCUGAAAACUAAAACAACUAUCAUCGUUGGCCACCACUUCCACCAGCCAUCGUUAGCACUGCUGUCAAUCAACUUGUUGUAGACGUUUGCCAACAGUCGUUCGCACAGUUUCCAACCAACACCGGUUGUGGCUUGUUUGUGCAACCCCUUGUGCGCUACUGUCGCCCAACCAACCAAGUUGGGGCACGACACCCCUUGCCUACUACCAAUUAUGCUCGACUAUUAUUGUCAGGUUGUGAUAUAUGCACAGAUGGGAUGAAAUUUAUUAAAUUUCAUUCACCAAAGCUGCCAAUUUUCAAGUUUGAGAAAUCAACUGACUUUCGAUGACUUUUUGGAUGGGAUCCAUAUAUUUUUAGGUUGAGAUGUCUUAUAUUGUUUGAAGAUCUAUCUCUUAGCUUCGAAACACAUUUUGAAUCACUCAAAUUUGAGUUCGGGAGCUCAAGUUAUGACUGUUUUAAUAAAAACUGCACGAGUAGAAUUUUUGGGCAGGAUAUGACAGGAAUUACGAGUUUCUAGCUUUUAAUUCGACUUUAAAUCAUAUUGAGUUCGGGUUUUUGGCUUGAUUGUUAUUAUAUAUGAGUCCAAUAUUAUAUUUAUCAACUCUUAAUAUUUUAAUUUUAUAUUAUUCCAAAUUUUUAAUAAUUAUGUAGUUUAAAUUAUUUAGGAGUUUUAUGUCAAUAAGGAAGUUUAGUUUAAAAUUAUUUAUUAUUUAGAUUAAUUAUAAUUUUAGUAUAUUUAAGUGUUUUAUUUAGAUUUAUUUAGCUAACCUAUAUAUAGGCCUUUGUAUUGUAUACAAAGGAAUCAAUUCAUUAUUAUUCAAUUUAUUUUGAGUUUUUUUGAGAAGAGUUUUAACAAUUUUUUCAGUAGGGAUUAUCUUCAAACUUUUUUUUGUCGUUUGCAAGGCUUCUUAGGACUUCUACAUAUCACGUUCUAUCUUUUUCAUUUAUCUUUUUUAUUUUCUUCUUUAUUGUUCCAAUCUUUGAUUUAUUUUUCUAUUUAUUUAUCUUAGUUAUUUAUUUCUUUUAUUUUAUUUGGAUUUGAUUGUGUUUCAGAUUGUGUCAAAAUCCAAAUUUCUUUCUAAACGUCUAGAGCCCUAAGUUAAAUUCACGACUUAAACAAACUUUAUGAUCCGCUUCCGCUUUCAUCCGCUCAUUCGUAUCUGGUUGGGGCACAAUGUCAUGGCCCCAGGCGCGACCUCACCAACCAAGUCUCAAUGCCCUGGUUUAGGUCGCCCCUUGUGCACUGGCUAGGUGCAAUGCCCUGACCACCUACAUAUCUCGUCCUCACAACUACCCAACGCAGUUGUCGCGCACCAUCCAAUGUUUUGGGCGAUUCUACCCACCUCACUUACGCCAGUCACCAUACAUGGUGACUUUUCGCUCAAUCGUCAAUUUUUUCUAGUUUCGGUUAGGGUGUUGGUUGCCUUGCAUUUCUAUGUAACAUGAUUAAAAUCUCCCUUAUUAUAUACUAUUAAAAAAGCAACUUAAUAAGUGAUUUUUAAUAUAAUCAUAUUUUAUCUUAUAGUAACUAUUACAUCUUCCUUAAUGAAAAAAUCAAUUACUAACAAAUAGUAAUUAAUUUGUCCUAAACAAAUGACCUAACACCCCACUCAAGUUGGAACAUGCAAAUCAUAAAUGCCCAACUUGCUGAGAGGCCAUCGAAUUGCGGUUCACCAAGCGCCUUUGUGAAAAUGUCAACCAACUAAGCGGAUGUCGGAACAUAAGAAGGUGCAAUCAACCCAUCUUGGAUUGCAUCCUGAACAAAGUGACAAUCCACCUCAAUUGCAAUAUGUAAAGAAAAUUGACUAUUGCAUCUCAAACAAAGUGACAAUCCACUUUAAUUGCAAUAUGCAACACAGAUUGACUAUGGCCUCGAAAGCAUCGUUCUUCUCUAUCAGCUUAUUUCUAGUGAAAUUGAGUGCCCUUUGCAUCUUUUCCACAUUGGUAUUGUGAGACUCCAACACAAAAGUCCUUAAGUUGAUCCUUCAUUGAAUCAAACUCAUCGAUGCGCCCUUCGACCUCUUCGAGCGUCUCUCUCACGUCCCUCAUAGACUCCUCGAGAUUAACCACUCAUUCUUUUAAAGUCAUCACCAUGUCCCUUGAUCGACUUGUGGUGGUGGUGGAGAAGUAGAACCACCACCAGCCAUUGAGAACAAUGAAAAAAAUUUGUGUUAAAAGGUGGAUGAUAAUCAGCCCGAAGGUUAACAUUGCUGCUCCGCCGGGCAAAACAAAAGAUAAUAAGCAAACUGCUUGGAGAAGAAAAAAAAUAAAUACAAGGAAACCUAGCCUCUUGAUACCAUGAACAAAAUAGGUUAAUUCCUUUCAAUCUUAUUGAUGAUAAACCACAAGAGCAUACAUAAUAUUUAUAUUGCAAUAGUCACGUAGGAAUAGGAAAGAUAUAUAAUAUAUUUAGAUAUUCCUAAACGAUAAUAUCCCAUAAUAAUAUCUAACACAACAAAACCAACCUGCUUAACAAUAUGCAUGAGAUGAUGAAUUCUGUCAAAGAUAGUUCUUUCUCACUUUGAUGGUAAUUUGAAUGUUUAGGGUUUUAUGGAUUGGCUUGUAGAGGUAGAUAGAAUUUUCAACCAUACGGAGAAUCCUAAGGAGUGAAGGGUAAGAUUCGUAGUAUACAGAUUAAAGGAAGGAGCCUUAUCCUGGUGGGAAUGUUUACAAGACACAAUACAGCGUGAGGGAAAGGGCCAAAUACGAACAUGGUACAAAAUGAAACAAUUGCUCAAGGUCGAUUUUUACCUAUACAGAGAUUAAUGCACGACUACGCCACAAAGUUCAUGAGGCUUGCUGAACGCAACAACUUGAUGGAUUCCGAUAGCCAAAUGGUAGCCAAAUACCUAAAUGGAUUAGGACUUACAUUAAUCUAGGACAAGAUUGGUGUGAAAAUGUUGUAAAACAUCACCGAAGCACGUAAUAUGGAGUUAAAGAAAUGAUACAAUGGAAGAAGGUGGCUUGGACUAAGAAGAAUUGCUAUCAGUUUGCACUAGCAACUUUGGAGAAUAAUAAGAAACUGGAAACUUGCAAAUUCAAACUUAAAAAUCCAAUUAUGACAAAGCAACGAGAAAGAAAUUGGCGGAAGGGAUUGAGACAAACACAGUCACAACCAUCAAAGAACCCAUAUGCUAAGUCAAUUCCUAAAAAAUGUUGUCGGUGUAAUCUACCUGGACAUUGCGCUAAUGAUUGUCCAAGAAGAAAGGAAAUUGACGUUAUAGAACGUAGCGAUUACAAAGAAGAAUUUGAGGAAGGAAAUGAAAUAAUAUGCAAACAUGAUGGUGACAGCAAUAGAAAGAAUUCAGUAGAUGGACACAUUUUGGCAAUACGAAAGAUAUUAAAAUUGAAGGAUGAAGAUACAACCCAAGGCCAACAACAUUUCCAAACUAGUUGCACAAUCUGGUAACAUUUACAACUUGGUAGUUGAUAAUGGUCGAAAGGAGAACAUCAUUUAGACGAUGCAUAUAUCAAUGGAAAAACCACUUUUUCAAAAUGUUCGAUAAUCAAAGAUAUUACAAGAGUUGCCUACAAAGUUAAACCUAUCAAAUUACCAAAUGAAACUAAAGGGAAAUGUGAUUUUAAAGAAGAAUGUGGAAGAGUGGUUAUAGACAAGACAUGUCUAGAGGAUAAAGCUAACUCGAGGAAGAGUUUAUAAGAGAGAUAUGAUAAGUAGUAUCUUUAUUAAUUUAUUAUUUAUCCCUAAACUUGUUAUUUACUUGAUGGAUAUAUUUAAUUUAUCAUUUUAUUAAUUAUUUUUUUCUUUUAAUUUGUGUUACAUCAUAUAUUAAUCUUACUCAGAUCAAGUUAAUUUUUAAAUAAAAUACUUUAAAUAUGAAUUAUUUUAAUUUUAUAUCAACACAUCAUAUCACAGAAUUAGUUCUUAAUUUAUUAAAAAAUAAUAAUUCUCUACUUUGAUAAUUCUAAUUAACUUAAUUAAUUCAUCAUCUAAAAGCUAGAAAAAGGUGGGGUGCAGUAGACAUGAAUAUUUUAAUUUUCCAAGUACACAUCAAAAGUAAAUUUAGCCCCAUUUCCUUUUACAGUAACCUUAACAAGCUUAUAAUCAGUUACUAGAUAUAUGUAUAUUAUAUAUUUCAUAGUAAGUGGAAAUGCCAUGAUUCAUGGGGGAUAAUCUUGUAGGAUCUUAAUGCAUGUUCUAAGCAAAUGGAAGAGGACAUUCUUGUCUGAAAAUCAAACUUAUCAUUCUUACACACUCUACGCAUCUUAAACAUGGCAGACGAUCAGAUCUAGGGUCCUCCAUUUAAGGAAAGUUAACAUAAUAUUCCUGCCUUAUAUAGUAGCUUUCAUCUGACACAAUGCUAAGAUGUUCUUCACUAAAACUGAAACAGCAGCAAUGAACCAUGCACGCCCCCAUAACAUUAGCUGCACACAAACCAUAGGAAUAUGUUAUAUAGUUUCAUCUAAGAUGAAAAAAUAUUUGGUAAUACAAAGACCUUUUUUUCUGCAAAGAUUCUUACACUAGUUGAAGAGCUAUCUGGUCUUGCUGCAGCUGAGGGUUAUAAUAAUUGGUGGCGGGUUGUAAAGCAUCGACUUGGAAGUAGUUCCGAGAGUCAUAUGGUUGAGAAUGUAGGGCCUCGAAGUUAGCACUUGAACCUCCGGGCAUCAAAUUCAUGCUCUGCUGCUUCCUCUCGUUCUCAGCUAUCUGCAACAUACAGUAAUGGCACAAAUGGUGCGUUAAGCAUGGCUUUUGGCUGUCCAACAGCACUUUUUAACGGCAAAAGCAAUGAUAAACAAAGGGUUUUUGCAAAUCAAAGGUUUUUUCAACCGCAACAACAAUGUUAAACUAAAGUAAAGAAAGAGAGAUCAGACCUUGGCUCGAAGAAGUUGGUUAUUGUUAUGCAAGUCAAUUUCCUGCAGCAAAGGACAAAAUUAUAAACAUACACACUAAGAACAUACUAUGGAUCGAUCCCUACAUGGUUCAAUCAAAUAAAACACCAUUGAGACCCCCCUUUUAACUGAUGGCCAAAGACCAAAGUAAUUGCCUUAUAUAACACUCUCAGGCAAGCAAUUAAUCAGUUUUGGAUUAAAUGGUGAUGUGAAGAGGAAAAAGUACUUACCCUUUUCUGCAUAUACUCAAUUUCAGCAAACAACAGCUCAUUCUGGUAGAGUUUAAAGGGGAUAAAUUAAAGGAGAAGGGAAAAUUUGUCAGUAGCAAUAAUAAUUAAUAAUCUUAAAGGAACUAUUUUUAAUUACAUAAAUUAUUAUCAGAUACCUUUUUGGAACGGAUUCUGCUAAUUCCUUUUUCUAAACGACUCUCCAAGCUCUUAAGCUCUUUCAUAGGCAAUCCCCCUAUGGACUCUCCCAGCAUAUGCCUGCAAACAUAUAUACACAUAGCAUUGUUAAACAAAAAGGGUUUUGAAAUAAAAUUGUAUAUGAUGGAAGUGAAUUAAAACCAUGGGGAAAUGACCUGUUUGCAUUCUGCAAAUUCCGGAUUUGAUUUCGGAGUUUGUCAGCUUCUUGCUGAUAGAACUGAGAUUUACAUCCGUAUGGCAUUACCAGAGAAAUUUUAUUAAGUAAACCAAGGAGUUGAACAAAACCAGAUAGUAAAGGUUAAGAGCUUCUUCAGGGAAAUGUUAAGGUUAAGGACUUAAUUAAAUGCAAAUUAAAACAAUGAAGAUUGAUUAAGUUAAUACCUGAGCAUUAACUUCAGCAACUGAUCCAGUAUUGGAGGAAUCAGAAGCCUUUUUAUACCUCUCAAUUGUUGCUUUAACACUGCAAAAACAUUGUUUUAGUUAAAUAAAACAAAUUAUAUCAACAAUCAAGGCAAAUAACACAGUUAAUUAUUUGAAAAAUGUAUAUACAUAUAUAUAUAACUCACGUAAAAAGUACACAUAUAAAUCAUUCAUGAAAUGCUUGCAUGUGAUCCAUAUUACCAACCUUUAGCAAUGUCAUUAUGAUUAAUUAAAAAUUAGUUAGAGCAUAAUGGUGUUUAGAAACAUUAUAUCUUCAUCUUCAUCAUCAUCAUCACAUGUAAUGCUAGUAGGUAGCUGUUUUAUUAAGCAAAAUCGUCAAAUCAACCAAUGUGUCAGUUAACUGAACCUAAUACGAAACCUUGAACCCCCCAAAGUUUACAAUAACAAUGGAGCAAUGGCUAGCUGUGUUGUUCACAUAUAUAUGGACCAUAUUUGAUUGAUGAGACCCCUUAAGUCACCUCGUUAGUCAUCCCCAAAUCAACUUUAAUUUCCUUUCUGAUACCUUAAUUUCGUCGAGCCUCUGAUUGGCCGUCCCUGCCAAUGCUAGCACUGUUUCUAGCAGUAUGAUUGGCUCAGAGUUUUUUAUUUGUGCCAGGUGUCAUUAACCGAUUACACGGAGGAUAAUACUUUAAAGAGUUCGUACGUUAUUUUAGUAAUUAACCCACCUUAUUUAAUAAACAAAUAGUAUAAAGCAAAAGCCAAAAAAAGAGAGAGAAGAAUUUAAUUGCUAUAAAAAUAUAGAACAGUGAUUUUAUCAGCUUCUGUCAGUGUCUGAAAACUGUGAGGAGCAGCAGCAGCCAUAGUUACAAGUUUCACAGUAGAAGCCAAAACCUCAGAACACUCCCAUUGGUUCGCAGUUGCCGUACGUUGUCUCUCUCAGACAACACUGCUGUGUGCUGACUCACUUUUUCUUUUCUUUUUUUACUUUUUUAAGUGUUGCUUCUCUCUCUUAAUUUGAACUUGCACGAAUAUAUCUAAGCAAAGAUCUUUUCACAAAUGAAAACCGGGGAAGCUAAUGCCAACAGUAAGUCAUUCAUUAUAAAUGAUGAUGAUGAUGACCCUUUGAGCAGUUUUUGAGCUUUAUUUCCAUUGGCUAAAUGGGUUUGCAAUGAUGAAAAAAAAAAACAAGACAAAGAAACUGAGGUUUUGGAAUAAUGUAAGAAAACUCAUUUUGUCAAGUAGUGAAGAAACUAAGAAAAUCGUGUGUGACGUGACCAAAAGAUUCUGGUAACUAAGACAAAACACCACACCUAAUCUUAGUCAUGGAGUCAUCAAAACCCUAGAUAGAUUUAAAAAAAAAAAAAAUUGAAUUCGAGACCCAAAAUUUAAAACCCAAAUCUAUAAACCCUAGAUAGACAUAAAAAAGACCCAAAUUGGUGAUAAAAAGGAAGAGAAAAAAAAGUAUCUCUAAAACUAUGUAAAAAAAAUUUGGUGAGUUGUUGCGGGGAGAUUACUUUGCUUGAUUUAAGGCUUACCAAUUAAAAGGGUUUUGGUGAGAGUUGUUAGCCUUAUGUGGUUAAUAACCGAAAAAGAAAAAAGAAAACCAAACCCUAAUUUGGUUAUGUUUGACUGUGAAAGGAGGGGAAUUCACGUGGUGCCCAAAGUGGGGAUUUAGGGAAAUUUCGUUUAUGAAGAACCCUAAUUUAGAUCUUAUUGAAUUUGGUUGUGAUUGGUUGUAAAAAGGAGUCUUAACAUGUUCCCAUUAGCAAAUUUAAAAAAAAAACACCAUGUUUAUUUUAAAAAAAUGAAACCCUAAUUUGAUUUUCUUACAUUGGGGGUUCUUAAUUUAGACAAUAUGUGUGUUUUUUUCUAGUUUCCUUUUGGGCAAACUCCUUUUACUAUCUUGAUCUUUUUCAACUGACAUCCAUUAAGGAUGAUUUUUUGAGCUAAUGGGAACAUGACAGAUAUUCAUGUAUAUAGGCCCUUUAGCCCCAUGGCUGAGACAGGCUCAGCCCCAAGAAAAAAAAGAAAGAAAGAAAGAAAGGAAAGGAAGGAUAAAUUUUAACAUCAAUGGAGGAUAUAGAAAGCACAGAAGGCUGAUCUCUCACAGGUCCAACAGUCAUAUAUAUAUACACACACGCACACACACAUAUAUAUCAUAUCCCCAAAACCUAUGCUUUUAAAUUGUUACUUCCGCAAAAACAUAAUGCUGUCUAUUUCCAUCUAUUGCACCAGAUCCAUGUAUCCACCAAACUAGGAAUUUCAGAAAAAGAUCAUAAACAGAAAUAUAUAUAAAGCCCUAAAGCUUAUACAAGUAAAAAAAGACAAAAUAGAAGGGAAAAAAAAGACAACUGAAUCUUAGUUUUAGUGAACUCAAUCUAUAGCUUUUCACCAAAAAAUAUAUAAAAAAAACUAUAUAAUAAAUAUUAAUACUUCCACUGAUCAAAGAUCCAUUCCUAUAUAUAGUUCCAUUGACAAAAUUUUCAUUGUACUUUGAGAAAAUUAAGAUCAAAGGACAUACCUAUUGUUAGCAUACUCAUAGAGUCGACCACGGCUAGAGAAGACAACCAAAGCAACCUCAGCAUCACAAAGAACCGAUAGCUCAUAAGCCUUUUUGAGCAAACCAUUGCGCCUCUUACAAAAGGUAACUUGGCGGUUCGUCGUGUUUUCGAUCCGCUUGAUCUCGAUCUUUCCUCUCCCCAUUUUCUUCUGGGGAGAGUCUUCAAGGGAUUCAUUGGGGUACA